This 18-nucleotide unclassified non-coding RNA is filed under the name Chlamydomonas reinhardtii. Its description in RNAcentral is "small RNA Cre_3320". The record is from RNAcentral. Lineage: Eukaryota; Viridiplantae; Chlorophyta; Chlorophyceae; Chlamydomonadales; Chlamydomonadaceae.
UGGCGGCGGAGGGAGGCG